Non-coding RNA from Ictidomys tridecemlineatus (thirteen-lined ground squirrel), 1318 nucleotides. The record is from RefSeq and is a predicted model, not a curated record. Lineage: Eukaryota; Metazoa; Chordata; Mammalia; Rodentia; Sciuridae.
CCCUGUCCCAGACCUGGGCCACCCCUCAAUCCACGGCAGGCUCGUACCACACUGCCCUCAGCUACUCUGGAGCCUCCCUGGCCAGGCAGAAAGACUUCUUCCUCAGCACAUUCCGAGGUAAACUGAGGCAUGGAGGCAAGAAUGGACUUAACGCAUGCUCAAGGACGUGGAAUUAGUCCUAACCCCCUCAGGAUUGACAUAGCUAGCCCAGGGGCCGGAAGGGGAAAAAGCUUAAGGUAUGGCCACCUCGGUAGGGGCAUACCUGAGUGCUGCCACUCCCAGGGACCCUGACGAGCUCCCGACCGCCCGCCCGCACUCAAGACCCUUCCCCAGUGCUGUUUCUUUCAACCACAAGAUCAGCGCACCGAGCCCCGGAACGGCCCGCCCACGGAGCGCUCAUUGGCCUGACCGCGCAGGAACUGCCGCACCAUUGGCCACUGUCUAGGUCGCUAGGCGCUGCGGCCACGCGAACCCCGCAUGGGAGAGGCGAAGCCGGUUCAAACCGGCGGCGCGAUCCUGCCGAAGAGCCCCCAUCCCGGGCUGUUACCUCGGCAAUCAGUCCGUUUCCAUAGAAGCAGACCCCGGCCCCUCCAUCCCUCAGCUCCCUCCCGGGUUCUUAAUCUAUUCCCUGGCGGAUCCUGUAUCCAGUUUAUUCCCUCUCAUAUUCACAAAUUUUCUAAGCCCCUUCUUGUGCGGCUUCUGACCCCCCACUCCCUGGCCUGGGACCCGGAUCCCCGGGAUUCAGCUCACCCAGCUCCUACUGAUGUGUGUCGGGCCCGCCCGGCGUUUUUUCUGCCCUCUUUUAUUCCAGCCCUUUUAUUCCGACCCUAAGAUGAAAACACUGCUGCCUGCUGAUUGGCUGAGUGGGGGCUGGAAACAGGCGUUGACCAAUCAUCAUCCACCCGCCCGCCCCCCGGCAAGCAGAAGCCGGUUCCGGCCGGACUUGAAGACAAACAAGAGAGUUGGGGGGGCCUGGGGCAGCUGUGGGCCUUGUCUUGACUCUGCUGUUUUAAAGUGGAGCCGCAGCCAGGCCGGGAACCCCCGGGACGUUGCUCCACCGCCUCUCCAGAGCCCCACCCGGAGCCCUGACCCUGGGCUGGGCCCUCAGCUAGGCGUUCCCGCGCUCCUCGGACUUCCCCAGCUGCGUGGCGGUCGCCUCCGAUCUCGCACUCCGCUCUCCUCUGACCCGCUAGACUAUAAACACUUUGGGGCAGGAAUAUGUAUUAUUCAACUUUGGAUAACCAGCUCCUAAUACUGAAGUAAGCACAAUGGAGACACACAAUAUGGGUUUGUGGAAUAAAAAUGAAAGUUCUGAAAA